CUCAGCUGCAGCGUAUGUUGGGACGCACCUGAUGGCAGCUCCAGUACACCCACGAGCAGCAGGGGGCGCUGUCUGUGCACCAACGUGAUCAGGCUCACACAGAGGUGGAGGAUUACCUGAGCGUCUCUUCGGGCUGCAGUUUGCGCCUUGAGUCCGAUGUCAAAGUUCUACACGACCAGGCCAGUGCGGCGUCCAUCUGAGGUCGGGUCAGACCGACUCCAGCAGGUGGCAGCAGAGAGCUGAGACACAAGGAAGCCCAACAGUCCUCCUGGAGGGACACUUGGAGCUCUGACAGGCUGACAUACUGAUGCUGCACCGAGUCACCGUCAUACUGGAGAGAUAACGCAGAUUGGACCUCGCAUUCCUCGGGCUGCGACAUUUGUGAUGAGGGAGACGGCGGCAAGAGGGGCAUGGUUGACGGCGCAUCCUCGCCUGGGGCGCACCGCUGCUCGUGCGUCUUGUGCAUUUCGGAGUGCUCGGUCGCACACAGGAUGUUCUUCCCUCCCCACGGUCGUAAGACACAGACACGCAACGCUGUCACGCAUACACACUCGCCGACCGACACGCACUGUGCCCACCACAGCCUGCUGCUAUUCUAAACACAAACAAACACCACAAACAAAAGUUCAAUACACAAUGACAACUUUUCAUGUGUGUUUUUGUGGUUACCUUGACCAGGACAGGUAGUGUGUGUGUUUCGUCUGACAGCAUGAAGAAGAAGAAAGACGUUCCUGAGAUGACCAGCAGGGGGCAGACGGAAGCCACUUUACCGAAGAUGGACAGACGCAAUCCUUGCAACCUGACAGACAGACAAGAGCGACAGCACCGGCGACCAAUCCCUGCGCAGGACCGGGACACAGCAGCACAGGAGAGCCAAUCAGCUCCACGUAGCCUCGGGCUUCCGGCUGCGCUUGCAAGGGGGCAUCGUGGGGGAUGUAGUGCCAGUGGGGGAGGAAGACCAGACGACCCAUCCACAAAGGCGCCCGAUCAGCAGGAGGUGCGCCCGGGGAAGAGCCCGCCGACCCGGGAGCGCCACCGCCGCUUCCUCGGCUAACGCACGCUCCUGACUGGUGCUCCAAGACAGGUUACUGACGCACGCCAGCCGCUGGUGAGAGAGAAGCUCAGAGACGCACACCAGCCUGGUGAGCCGACGCAAAACGUCAGCAACGUGUCUGAAUGGGGCGGGACGGGACAGCAUGCCUUACCUGUAGCUGAUGGGCAGCGUGUGUGUGCUGGACAUCUUCCCUCGUAUCCUCUUCAACACAGUUGCACUCAGGUGAGACACACCCUCAUCAGCUGCAAAUUAGAGAAUUUGGUCAAACUUGGGGAGAACAUGGAAACUCCACAUAGGGUACCCGGAAUCCAAACUCGAUUACAGUGUGUGUGUCUGUGUGUGUGCACAUAUUACAGUAUCGCUACACACACAUACUAACAUCGUAGCAAAACUUUCAGCUGUAUCAUCCAGCCUUAUUUUCUAACUUCACGGUGUCAUGCUUAACAGUUGAACCUGGAUUACUUUGCACUUCAAUUUAUAUUGAACAUAGACUAAAACUCAUGGAGUUUAAUUUGGUUUUGCAUGACACAAAUGAAUACUAAAUAACUG
Molecule: long non-coding RNA, 1603 nt
Organism: Syngnathus acus (greater pipefish)
Lineage: Eukaryota; Metazoa; Chordata; Actinopteri; Syngnathiformes; Syngnathidae
Exons: 5
Source: RefSeq, a predicted model, not a curated record